Molecule: transfer RNA, 91 nt
Filed under: Ailuropoda melanoleuca (giant panda)
Lineage: Eukaryota; Metazoa; Chordata; Mammalia; Carnivora; Ursidae
Rfam family: tRNA
About the family: Transfer RNA (tRNA) molecules are approximately 80 nucleotides in length. Their secondary structure includes four short double-helical elements and three loops (D, anti-codon, and T loops).
Source: Rfam by way of RNAcentral
GCCUGGGUGGCUUAAUUGGUUAAGUGUCUGACUCGUGGUUUCGGCUCAGGUCAUGAUCUCAGGGUCGUGGGAUCGAGCCCCACCUCCGGCU